RNAcentral lists this ribosomal RNA (498 nucleotides) under uncultured bacterium. Its description in RNAcentral is "partial 16S ribosomal RNA". It matches the Rfam family "Bacterial small subunit ribosomal RNA", at positions 30 to 523 of the family's 1533-position model. The record is from RNAcentral.
AUUGAACGCUAGCGGCAGGCCUAAUACAUGCAAGUCGAGGGAGAAUGUUGGAUUCGUCUGACAUGAGACCGGCGCACGGGUGCGUAACACGUAUGCAACCUACCUUUAACUGGGGUAUAGCUCAGAGAAAUCUGAAUUAAUCCCCCAUAAGACUACGACAUGGCAUCAUGAUGUAGUUAAAGCUCCGGCGGUUAAGGAUGGGCAUGCGGUACAUUAGCUAGUUGGUGAGGUAAUGGCUCACCAAGGCUACGACGUAUAGGGGGUCUGAGAGGAUGAUCCCCCACACUGGUACUGAGACACGGACCAGACUCCUACGGGAGGCAGCAGUAGGGAAUAUUGGUCAAUGGACGCAAGUCUGAACCAGCCAUGCCGCGUGAAGGAUGAAGGCCCUAUGGGUCGUAAACUUCUUUUAUUAGGGAAGAAAAAACGGGAUGCGUCCUGUACUGACGGUACUUAAUGAAUAAGGAUCGGCUAACUUCGUGCCAGCAGCCGCGGUAA